UACGGGGGGGGCAAGCGUUGUUCGGAAUUACUGGGCGUAAAGGGUUUGUAGGUGGCUUGCUAAGUCAGACGUGAAAUCCCUCAGCUUAACUGGGGAACUGCGUCUGAGACUGGCGAGCUUGAGUGCAGGAGAGGAACGCGGAAUUCCAGGUGUAGCGGUGAAAUGCGUAGAUAUCUGGAGGAACACCGGUGGCGAAGGCGGCGUUCUGGACUGCAACUGACACUGAGGUGCGAAAGCGUGGGGAGCAAACAGG
RNAcentral lists this ribosomal RNA (253 nucleotides) under uncultured bacterium. Its description in RNAcentral is "partial 16S ribosomal RNA". It matches the Rfam family "Bacterial small subunit ribosomal RNA", at positions 524 to 776 of the family's 1533-position model. The record is from RNAcentral.